Cydia pomonella (codling moth) is the source of this 4499-nucleotide RNA transcript. RefSeq lists it as uncharacterized. The record is from RefSeq and is a predicted model, not a curated record. Lineage: Eukaryota; Metazoa; Arthropoda; Insecta; Lepidoptera; Tortricidae. The transcript has 3 exons.
UACUAGUGUAAGGGCAAAGUCGAUUAUUAGGUCGAACCAUAGUAGUCUCAUUCGAUAUUUAAUAACACCGUUAGAGUAACAAGAAUAGAGAUAUGUAUAAACAGUAAGGUAAGAGUGAGACAGCGCUUUACAAAUAAAACACACUUCCAAUAUGUCGUUGUUUCAAUAACCAAGUCCUUACAUGGCGCUCGGCCAAAUUAAUUAAAAAUAAUUAGUUAAACGUAAUGUGAAGUGAAAAAUAAACAUGAAUUUAAAGAAAUCAUAGCGUAAAUAAUGUAAAAAAAGAUAAAAUCAGUUUAAAACGUUUGUUAAAACACGGAUGUAGCCGGAUUGCGAGGAUAGUCCUACGUUGAAGGAAAUAAGCACGCGAUACGAUUAAUUGCGAGUACCAAGUUUCGGUACGCCGGCAAGUUUUCUCUUUUUUCAGCUUUCAGGUUAAACGUAAUUAACUGAAAUGGAAGGAACAGAAGAAGAAAAUUUUCAAAGUUUCACGGUAACACAAUUACGAGAAGAAUUGUCAAUACGUUAUUUGCCAACAAGUGGCCUAAAACAUGAUUUAAUCAGAAGAAUUAUCGAGGACAACAAAGCUAAAUUACAGGAUGGUACAAUGGAAGCAUUGAAGCAAGAAAAGGUACGUCGUACAUCUCAAAUUUUGGAAAUGGAGUCCAUGAGACAGCAAAUUCGGGAACUACAAGCAAGUCGAGCACCGGUAUUAGACCAAGGUACGUCAGCGGAAGGUACAAAUGCGACCUUAACCGAAGUUUUAACUCAAUUGGCACAGACCCAAGAAAUAAUUGCACAUAAAAUGUCUCCUACUUUCCAAGUCUUCUCAACUAGUGAUACAAGUAACGCUAUCCCUCUUUUUGGAGGUAACCGCACUGAAAAUGCAACUGAAUGGGUUAGGCAAGUAGAACGUAUAGCUGCAUUAGCAAGUUGGUCAGAUAACCUGACAAUGGUAAAUGCAUCCAUGCGAUUAAGAGGUCCAGCUUAUAAUUGGAAUACUGUUUGUGGAAAAAAAAUUGAAUCAUGGUCAGAAUGGAAAAAACAACUGAUAGAUAGAUUUAAAAUAAGAAUGUCAUUUGCCGAAUUCAUACAAUACCAAAGUAAAAGGAUACUUCGCUCUAAUGAAACCAUUACUGAGUACAUUUAUGUUAAAAAUGCGAUGCUUGAAAAGUCCCCAAGUUUAAUUCCAGAGCCAGAUCGAGUAUCUCUGAUACUAGAAGGAAUCCAAGACAUGCGGUGGUCAACGCCCAUAGCAACACAUUGCUGUAAGAACGUGGAGGAACUCAUCAAUCAUGCGACAGCAAUUGACAACAUCAGGAAGGUACAGCGUAAGAUGACCGAGCAGCAUGAAUCAGUAAGUAAACCAACAUUUGACAAAUCAAAAAGCAAUUUCAUACCGAAAUACAACCCCAGUGUAGACAAAAUAGAAGAAGUUACUUGUUUCCGAUGCAAGCGAAAAGGCCAUGUUUCAUACAAUUGUGAAAUACAGUCACAACACUCCAAUGUACAGUCACCUAAAGAAAAACAAGCAACAAAACCAUACUCUAAUCAAUUAAAUAACCCAAGCACAUCAACAGGUAUCAAACAUAAUCAGCAUAAGGAAAAGCAAGUAAAUUGCAUUCAAUUUGAUGAACCAAGUGUAACAUUAAUACCAAUUAUACUCAACAGCAAUAUAAAACUGUCAGCACUCCCAGAUUCAGGAUCAGUGGUAACCAUGGUGGAUAAGAAGCUACUCCCAAGUGACCUGCAAGUACACCCAUGGCAAAAAGGCUCAUACAAGGUAGCAGGAAGCAUGAUCACACCCGUUGGAUGGUUUACAGCAAGAUUACAGGUGGGAAAAAUUGACUAUAUUAUGCCUCAGAUAGCAAUCAGUGAAAACUUACCAGUAGAUAUGAUAUUAGGAAAAGAUUGGCAAUAUUCAGUAUAUGCAAGAAUUAUACAUGAACCAGAUGGCAAAAUAUGUAUUAUUACGCCUACACAUACAGAGUAUUUUGACAAUUUGUCACAAGAAAACACUUUAACUGCAUGUUGUAUGAAAACCAUUAGCACUAGCAACCAGGAAAUUUUAAUUACACAGGAUGACAAAGAAAAAGUUGCUAAUUUAGUUGACAAGUAUUCUGAAAUUUUUAAAAGUGACAAAAAUGAUAUAGGAGAAUUUCAGGAUGUAGAACUAGAAAUAAAGUUAAAACAUAAUGUUCCUAUUAAAUGUAAACCAUACAGACUUCCACAACCAGAACGAGAAUUUUUAAGAAAAACGAUAGAUGAAUGGAUUGAGCAAAAGAUAUGUAGACAUUCAGAUUCCCCAUAUGCUGCACCAAUGUUUGUUGUAGAACAGCCGUUUCAUAGUACAACUCCUUUCAGACCGGUUGUAGAUUAUUCAAAAACCAUAAACCCGAUUACAGAAAACAAUGUUCAACCUAUAGACCGAAUGGAAGAUAUAAUAAAUGUAAUAUCACAGUUUGUAUACAAAUUUAAACUUGACAUUUACCAUGCAUAUCACAAUAUUAAAAUUAAAGAAGAAGAUAUUUAUAAGACAGCGGUAAUAACACAGGAUCAUCAUGUAGAAUUCAUGCGAGUCAUGUUUGGAAUGGUCGGAGGGCCAUCGAUUAUGUCAAAAGUAAUUAAUUUAACAUAUGGACACUUAUAUGACCAAGGAGUACGUUUGUAUUACGAUGACAUUUCAGGAGGUGCACAUACAAUGGGGAAUGGAUGAAAAUAUUAAAUGUGCCUGAUUAUUUUUCUGGUCGUAGGAAUAACCAUUUCUAGUUACAGAAAAAAGUUACAGAUUUUUUGGUUGCGUCAUACAUUUUAUAAAAAUAAAAACAUUUUGCUUCACCGCACGUCCGGCCCAUUACGGCUGUUAAGAAAACUUUCUAAGUCUUAAAAAGUUAUCGCUAUUUGAAUCUGUGGAGCGCAUGACAUUGACAGUUGAUUGACAGCUUGUCAUUCUUCUCGCGGAAUUCAUAACCUUUUGUGCUCUCAUCUGGUGAUUUGGUUUCUUUGUAUUUAUGUGAUUAUUACGACUCGCUUCCCCACCCGGACCUCUGAUUUUGCCUGCUCCAACGACGACCUUCGCUUUUGAACCCCGGACCUGAUUUUGAUAGCAAUUUCGACGACCCCUGGCAUUUGAAUUCUGCAAACAUGGAUACCGCUGCUUUUGUUAGAGCAAACUCAUCUAAUUUGCCAAAAGUAGACCCAUAUAUGCUUAUGGAGUUUAUGAAGAAUAGCGACAAACAUAAUGCCGGUGAAAUAAGAGAUGCCAAAGCUUUGUCGUCUUCAAGAGAAUCAUAUGUUGAGACUGCUAUUGGAUAUGUUGAAACAAAGCGGACUGGGAAUCUUUGUGAUGUGAGAGCUAAAGUUGUUCCUGAACAAAGAAUAACAAGCAAAUACUAUGUUGUGAUGGUCCAUUUAGAAGAGGCAAAUGAAUCAAUCAUAGAUACUUCAUGUGACUGUGCAGCGGGGGCUGGUGGGUGUAAACAUACUGUUGUAGUAUUACAUUGGCUACAAAAACGAAGUGCUGAACCUUCACCAACCAGUAUCCAAUGUUACUGGACGAAACCCAGCCUCAAACGGGCGCUAGACAAACCAUUAAUGUGUAAAGAUUUGGCAAAAGGAGAAGUUGCCGAAAGGGGGCCAAAGGACCCUUUGGUACUGAAAAGACUACGACAAGAAGCAACCAAACAUGGUUGUGGUAAAAGCCUGCUCAUGGUAUAUGAUCCUGAAAGACCGAUGAAAAUGAACUCAAAAUAUUGUAUUUUUGACAUGAUGGUGGAUUUUUUAGAAAAGGAAAGUAGGCCAACUUUUAACAAAUUUAAAAUAUUUAGCAAUGCAAUAAUGCUAGAAAAUAAAGAAAAAAUCAUGAAAGACACUGUAGGCCAAGUGAACUCAAAGCAGUGGCAUUCAAUUCGACAAGGCCGAAUUACAGGAUCAAAAAUUUAUGAAAUUGCUCAUUGCAAAACACCCCAUGGCAGUCUUGUUGAAGAAAUACUAGGAGGGUGCAAAGCACCAGAAACAAAGUCCAUGAAAAGGGGUAAAAUCCUAGAAAAACGAGUACUGAAUAAAGUAAAGACUGAUAUAAAUAAAGAAAUAGAAGAAUGUGGAUUUUUGAUUAUAGAUGGAAUUUUUGGAGCGUCACCUGAUGGCGUUGGAGAUGACUUUGUGGUCGAAAUUAAGUGUCCCAUUUCGGAGAAAACUAAAAAAAAAUUAUAUAAAGAAUGGGCAAAUUGCGAAUAAGUUUAUGGGCCAAGUGCAAUUAGAGAUGCUAGCGGCUGGCAAAAAUAAGUGUUUGUUGUGUGUGGCGGACCCGAAAUUUGAAAGCAACAGCUUAAUUGAGACAAUUGUUGUUAAUUUUGAUAAAAAUUAUAUAGAUAAUUUGAUGAGAGACGCAGAGAAAUUUUGGGAUGAGAAUGUGUAUCCUGUAAUUUUAAAAAGUGCAUCUACAGCAUGACAUUAAUUUUGUACUUUGUAUUUAUUUUAAAUAAAUAUGUUUGUCUUGA